GAUGAACGCUGGCGGCGUGCCUAAUACAUGCAAGUCGAGCGAACAGACGAGGAGCUUGCUCCUCUGACGUUAGCGGCGGACGGGUGAGUAACACGUGGAUAACCUACCUAUAAGGCUGGGAUAACUUCGGGAAACCGGAGCUAAUACCGGAUAAUAUAUUGAACCGCAUGGUACAAUAGUGAAAGACGGUUUUGCUGUCACUUAUAGAUGGAUCCGCGCCGCAUUAGCUAGUUGGUAAGGUAACGGCUUACCAAGGCAACGAUGCGUAGCCGACCUGAGAGGGUGAUCGGCCACACUGGAACUGAGACACGGUCCAGACUCCUACGGGAGGCAGCAGUAGGGAAUCUUCCGCAAUGGGCGAAAGCCUGACGGAGCAACGCCGCGUGAGUGAUGAAGGUCUUCGGAUCGUAAAACUCUGUUAUUAGGGAAGAACAAAUGUGUAAGUAACUAUGCACGUCUUGACGGUACCUAAUCAGAAAGCCACGGCUAACUACGUG
This 497-nucleotide ribosomal RNA is filed under the name uncultured bacterium. RNAcentral's name for it is "partial 16S ribosomal RNA". It matches the Rfam family "Bacterial small subunit ribosomal RNA", at positions 28 to 507 of the family's 1533-position model. The record is from RNAcentral.